RNAcentral lists this ribosomal RNA (253 nucleotides) under uncultured bacterium. RNAcentral's name for it is "partial 16S ribosomal RNA". It matches the Rfam family "Bacterial small subunit ribosomal RNA", at positions 524 to 776 of the family's 1533-position model. The record is from RNAcentral.
UACGAAGGGGGCUAGCGUUGCUCGGGAUCACUGGGCGUAAAGCGCACGUAGGCGGACUCUUAAGUCGGUGGUGAAAUCCUGGAGCUCAACUCCAGAACUGCCUUCGAUACUGGGAGUCUCGAGUUCGGGAGAGGUGAGUGGAACUGCGAGUGUAGAGGUGAAAUUCGUAGAUAUUCGCAAGAACACCAGUGGCGAAGGCGGCUCACUGGCCCGAUACUGACGCUGAGGUGCGAAAGCGUGGGGAGCGAACAGG